This 441-nucleotide ribosomal RNA is filed under the name uncultured bacterium. RNAcentral describes it as "partial 16S ribosomal RNA". It matches the Rfam family "Bacterial small subunit ribosomal RNA", at positions 338 to 795 of the family's 1533-position model. The record is from RNAcentral.
CCUACGGGGUGCUGCAGUCGGGAAUAUUGCGCAAUGGAGGAAACUCUGACGCAGUGACGCCGCGUGCAGGAAGAAGGUUUUCGGAUUGUAAACUGCUUUAGACAGGGAAGAAACAAGACAGUACCUGUAAAAUAAGCCCCGGCUAACUACGUGCCAGCAGCCGCGGUAAUACGUAGGGGGCAAGCGUUAUCCGGAAUUACUGGGUGUAAAGGGAGCGUAGACGGUUAAGUAAGUCUGGAGUGAAAGGCCGGGGCCCAACCCCGGGACUGCUCUGGAAACUAUUCAACUUGAGUGCAGGAGAGGUAAGCGGAAUUCCUAGUGUAGCGGUGAAAUGCGUAGAUAUUAGGAGGAACACCAGUGGCGAAGGCGGCUUACUGGACUGUAACUGACGUUGAGGCUCGAAAGCGUGGGGAGCAAACAGGAUUAGAUACCCCAGUAGUC